AGCAGUAGCCGCGGUAAUACGAGGGGGGCAAGCGUUGUUCGGAAUUAUUGGGCGUAAAGGGCGCGUAGGCGGUUUGACAAGUCUGAUGUGAAAUCUCUGGGCUCAACCCAGAGUCUGCAUCGGAAACUGUCGAGCUUGAGUAUGGGAGAGGUGAGUGGAAUUUCCGGUGUAGCGGUGAAAUGCGUAGAUAUCGGAAGGAACACCUGUGGCGAAAGCGGCUCACUGGACCAUUACUGACGCUGAGGCGCGAAAGCUAGGGGAGCAAACAGGAUUAGAUACCCGCGUAGUCCCUGUCUCUUAUAA
Molecule: ribosomal RNA, 303 nt
Filed under: uncultured bacterium
Lineage: Bacteria
Description: partial 16S ribosomal RNA
Rfam family: Bacterial small subunit ribosomal RNA
Source: RNAcentral